This 216-nucleotide ribosomal RNA is filed under the name Glomeromycotina sp. RNAcentral's name for it is "partial small subunit ribosomal RNA". The stretch from base 46 to 216 matches the Rfam family "Eukaryotic small subunit ribosomal RNA", at positions 692 to 864 of the family's 1831-position model. The record is from RNAcentral. Lineage: Eukaryota; Fungi; Glomeromycota.
GGGUCAGUAGGUUGGUCGUGCCACCGGUACGUACUGGUCUCACCGAUUCCUCCUUCCUGAAUAACCGUAAUGCCAUUAAUUUGGUGUUGCAGGGAAACAGGACCGUUACUUUGAAAAAAUUAGAGUGUUUAAAGCAAGCUAACGCUUGAAUACAUUAGCAUGGAAUAAUGAAAUAGGACGAUCGAUCCUAUUUUGUUGGUUUCUAGGAUUGACGUA